This 28-nucleotide small RNA is filed under the name Bombyx mori (domestic silkworm). RNAcentral's name for it is "ovarian small RNA-24569". The record is from RNAcentral. Lineage: Eukaryota; Metazoa; Arthropoda; Insecta; Lepidoptera; Bombycidae.
UCAACAGAUGUCGCUGCAUGUAAAUGCA